CGAGCAUCUCUAGUUGGAAAGUUCCUUCUGCCCAAAUGGCUCUCUCAGUGGAGUGGCACAAGCUGAAUUCACGUGGCAGACACGAGUAUUUAGAAUAAUUCCGGAUAAAUAGCUCCGUGACCCGGGGCCCCACUGCUGUCCCAGAGGCGCCCAACGCUC
Long non-coding RNA from Lemur catta (Ring-tailed lemur), 159 nucleotides. RefSeq lists it as uncharacterized. The transcript has 3 exons. The record is from RefSeq and is a predicted model, not a curated record. NCBI's taxonomy places the organism in Eukaryota, Metazoa, Chordata, Mammalia, Primates, Lemuridae.